CGCCACCCUCAGCGACAGCGACGAGAGUAACGCCCUCUCCAUAGCGCUGGAGGCCGGACACAAGGACAUCGCCGUGCUGCUGUAUGCACACGUCAACUUCUCCAAAGCUCAGUCCCCGGGUACGCCUCGCCUGGGCAGAAAGACGUCGCCCAGUCCCACGAGAAGAAGCAUAUUUGAUUAGAGGUCCCGCCUCUUCCAAGCUUUUGU
Gadus chalcogrammus (walleye pollock) is the source of this 207-nucleotide long non-coding RNA. RefSeq lists it as uncharacterized. Lineage: Eukaryota; Metazoa; Chordata; Actinopteri; Gadiformes; Gadidae. The transcript has 3 exons. The record is from RefSeq and is a predicted model, not a curated record.